This 591-nucleotide ribosomal RNA is filed under the name uncultured bacterium. RNAcentral describes it as "bacterial SSU rRNA". It matches the Rfam family "Bacterial small subunit ribosomal RNA", at positions 224 to 806 of the family's 1533-position model. The record is from RNAcentral.
GAUGAGUCUGCAAACCAUUAGCUAGUUGGUGGGGUAAAAGCUUACCAAGGCGAUGAUGGUUAGCUGGUCUGAGAGGAUGAUCAGCCACACUGGAACUGACACACGGUCCAGACUCCUACGGGAGGCAGCAGUGAGGGAUUUUGCGCAAUGGGCGGAAGCCUGACGCAGCAACGCCGCGUGAGUGAAGAAGGCCUUUGGGUUGUAAAGCUCUGUCGACAGGGAAGAAGUUAAUGUAAUUUAAUAGAUUACGUUAUUGACGGUACCUGAGAAGGAAGCAUCGGCUAACUCCGUGCCAGCAGCCGCGGUAAUACGGGGGAUGCAAGCGUUAUUCGGAAUUAUUGGGCGUAAAGGGCGCGUAGGCGGUUUUAAAAGUCAGGUGUGAAAGCCCGGGGCUUAACCCCGGAAGAGCAUUUGAAACUAUAAGACUUGAGUACGGUAGAGGAAAGCGGAAUUCCUGGUGUAGAGGUGAAAUUCGUAGAUAUCAGGAGGAACACCGGUGGCGAAGGCGGCUUUCUGGGCCUGUACUGACGCUGAGGCGCGAAGGCGUGGGUAGCGAACAGGAUUAGAUACCCUGGUAGUCCAUGCAGUAAA